UGAUAAGUUUUCUGUUUAGAUCUGUUGCAGGUUCUAGCAUCGAAGUUACUUUUUCCAGGAGAGAAAAACGUUUGAAAACAAUGCUCCAUAUCUGUUCUACCGAAGCUACAACGCCAACUCGCGUGUGCUCAACAACAAUGAAGCGGAAGCAUCAAACAACAAUGGAACCUUGUUUCUUCUUUUUUUUUGCUUUAAUGCGAUUGGUUUUGUCUGUUUAUUUUUUGCAGCUCAUUGCCGGCUCAUAAUCGUUGCGGGUUCGAUUCAGGAUCUAAUAUAUUUUGAACUGAUUACGACAUCGUCAGAGUCCAUUCCAUUUCUAACCGCACAAGAAUAACCACCGUGUACACAUCUCAUGGGAAUUGGCUAUCUUUAGAAUGAGCCUUAACUUUCAAUGUAUGUCUUAAGUUUAAUUUUAUUAAUGCAUUUCGUGAGGAUAAUGUUCAGUAAGAUUUUGUUUUAUCAUAGUCAUGGUAAAAAGCAAAUUUAAUGCUUAUUUUUUAACAUGUAUGUUAAUUGAUCUUAUAAAGAUUUUUCACAGCUUAAAAAUAUUGUUAUGUUGUGGACUAACUUAUUCUUUGUUUAUUUUAAGCAAUCUACAUAAUUAAAAAAAGGUAAAUUACAACUACAUUUACUAAUUUACAUGCAUGAUGUACUUGGAUUUGUCUUUAACAGGUAGCAUAUAUUACAUAUUGCAAAUAAUUGGAUUUUAUUUAUUAAAUAUCAUGUAGAUAUUACAUUAUUACAUUGAGUGGUGUUAGUUGUAAGCUCAUGCAUUUUUUUUCUUUGUUGAAAUGAAAUUCACGGAAUUGGCAAGCUAUACUUAGGCCACUAAAAUUUCAAUAUACUGAUUUGUCAUUUCACCAUUGUUCUACCCUCACAUACGAAACUCAAACUCUUUGUCGCUAUGACCAAAUCCGUUUAUGAGCAACAUGUGGCCGAUUCAAUCGAUUUAUUUAUAUUCAAUAUUUCAUAUUAUUCUUUUAAAAUUAAUUAAUUAAAGUUUUGAUUAAAUUAGAUAUUUUAUUAACUAUUUUAAUUACUUAAUUAUUUGAUCUAUAUAAUACUUAAUCAAAACAAAUUUUGAUAAUAAUUUUUAAUUACCUAUUAACGACUUAACUGAAUUUUAAUUAUUAAUUUGUUUAAAAUUGACCGACUUAUUUCCCAUCAUUUUUUCUAUAUCAUUUCAAUAUACAAACUCAAAUUCCAUUUCAUUUCCAAAACCAUCAAAAUUGCAUAUCCAUCAUUCAAUGGUCGAGACCAUUUUUUCAAUACCUUUGUUAAGCAUCGCUUAAAGCAUCGCCAUGAACCUCACAUAGCUUACUCUUCGGCCUUUUCAACAUGAGAUCAUUCGGUUAUAAUUAUCGAUAGGGUAUGAUUUAUACACUAAAAUAAUCCAAUUUAUUCAUUAAAAAACACAUCCAAGCCUCGAUUUUAACAUCGAUAUAUUCUAUUCAAACAAUUAAAGUACUAAUCACAUCUAAACAACACUUCAUUUGAAAAGUGAAAAGGAGGAGUUUUGAGUUUUCAACUCCUCUCCUCGAUUAUUUGAAUACGGAGUUUUCUUAACUCGUGUUAGUCCAAUAUGGUCGUCAUUUCUAAUUCAUUUAAGCACAAAGCAAAUCAAAUCCUUUUACAACAGAACUAAAAGGGAGAUACUUUGAGUCUUCAAUUUUUUGCUCCACGACUAUUGAUACAAGUUCUCUUACCUUGGCUUAUUCAAAUAAUUUCGUUCCUUACAAACUUCUAAUCCAUAAAUCAAAUUAUUUUCAUAAUCAAUGCCUAAAUGAAAAGGAGAUGACUUUGAGUCUUCAACUUCUCUCCUCAAUUGUUUGAAUUACGAGUUCUCUUACUCGGCAGUUCCGAAACAAUUUGUCAUUUUUUACAAACAUACAACUUAUCACAAUUCAUUUUCAUAACCCCCAAAACCUUUACACGAAAAAGAGAUUGGUCUUGAGUUUUUCAAAUUCCUCUUCUCAAGUUGGAUAUGAAUGCUACUCAUUCAUUCAGUACUUGUUCGUUCAUUUAAAAAUACAUCACCAUACCCAACCUAUUUCUAAAUCACUCAAUGGGAAAAAAACUGUCUAUAGUCUGUAUUCCCUUCCAAUAUUGGAUACAUUGUCUUACUCUUAUUCGGAUAUCAUCAUUCAUCAAAUACUAUAAUAUCAUUAAAUCCUUUUACAAUAAGAUAAAAAAGAAACAGGUCUAGAGCUCUUCUAGUCCCUUUUCCCGACUUUAGAUACGAUGUCUUACUCGACUAUCCAAGGAAUUGGUCUUCCAACUAAAAACAUCUCAACCAAACCAAAAAUAUCCAACAUAUUAUUCAACCUCACCCUUGAUCAAAAAACUUUUUCAAAAAAAACGACAUUUAAUCCUUUAAUACCACAACAAACUAAUGCUUAAAGCCUCCCACGAGUAGACAACCAACGUUAGCCUUUAGAUCGAUCUAAACAUUCGUUCAUUAAAAGACACCAAACCAAACCGUAGUUCCCGAACACGAAUCUCUUGAUUUCCUAUAUAUCCAUAGGAACUAGGCACAAUUGUUGUAUUUCGCCGUGAGCACAUUAUAAAAAUAAAACCUCCCCUUUCCCUUUCUGAGUCACAUCCAUUUCAUUUUUUAAUAAAUUAUAACCUAAAGAUAACCAAACAAAACAUUGAAAUUAAUACCCGUAAACACAAAUUAGAACUAAAAAGUUCGCUUGAGUACAACGCGUAAGGUGCUAAUACCUUUCUCUUACGUAAUCCACUCCCGACCCGAAUAUGCGUUGCAUGACCAUUAUUCUAUUUCAAUUUUUAUCGAUUUCCAUAUCCUUCAUUGAUAAAUUUAAAUCGUGCGAUCUUCGAACACUAUUUUUCCGCGACCAUCACAGGAAAUCGUAUUUCGAGAUCACAGAUGGCACUCUGCUGGAUACCUCCAACAAAGAGUAGCCUAGUAUAGUUCCAUUUCAUAUUGGGUGGUUAAUCUGUUUAGUCUUUAUCUGUUAUUUAUUUUUUAUUCUGCUAUUAUUAUUCUGUCAUAAUUAUUAUAUUGUGACUUAUUGACUAUGUCUUAUUUGGGGUUCUCUGGUUGGUGAUACUUGGUGAGAUAGGCUCUCCACCCGAGUCUGAGAAAAAACAUAAGAUUAAGUUGGUGGUUGCAUAGUGGGCGCCCGCAAGGAGUUUUCCUUGUUGGGAAGAAACGAAGACCCCGCCUAGAGGAGAUUCUCUUGAGAUAUUAUUGUCCGACGAGUUUUCGUCAUGACGAUAGUAUUCUCAAGUUGGAUCAAUGACUCUAGGGACCUUUUAACCCAUUAUAUCCGGCGGUUAUGUAGUAUUAACCUACAAAGUUUCAGACUUGUUGGGUUAAUACGAAAGCCCCAAUCAGAUGAGAUCCCUUGGACGUAUUAUUACCUGACAGUAAUAUUUCCAACCUCGAUCUAUGACUCUGAGAACCUUUUUAGAACCCUGGACUCGAGAGUCGUGUAGUAGAAUCCUCAUGGAGUUUUCCUUGUUGGGAUAAUACAAAGCCCUCACCUAGACGAGAUCUUCUUAAGGAUACUAUUGUCUGACGAGUCUUCGUCACGGCAGUAACGUCCUCAAGAAAUAUCCAUGACUCUGGGAACCUACCAACUGUAGAGCCUACCCAUGGGGUUCCAUUAUUCAGAGAUACCCGUCGUUCACCCGUUAUUCUGAUCUAUCUAAAAACACUUUGAACCUGUGAUCCUGAACAUGUCACUACACUCAUACACAUAUCAUUGCAUCUGCAAUCGUCAUGCAUUGCAUAUCAUUUUUCACCAAAAAAUAUAAAUACAAAAAAAAAACUCAUUCAUCCUUCAUCCAUAACCUACAGUUGAUUUCCCGACACUUAUAUCAGACUGAAAGAAGCUCUUGAAAAACCAUGGAUCCAUUGGAGCAAAAUCACAUUGCAUUAAGAGGAGAUGUUGACUUGAUGAAAAACCAGAUAGACCAACUUGUGGAGGCUAUGAUAGCUUUAGAAAAGAGGGAGGACAACAUUCAGCAGACUACAGUCGUAGAGAAUGUUAUUCUAGCUCUAGUAAAUGGUCUUACCCAACCUCAGCUUGUGCAAACCCCAGUUGAUAACUCCACUGUACAAGAACGUCAUGUUGUUCAAGAUUCCUCACGUCAUGAUGCUGUUGAGUAUCACAGUUUUGCAUUCUCCAUGCCAGAUUCCUAUGGAACAAGCCUAGUGGUUAAUGCUAAACAACCACAAGAUGAUGAGAUUGCUAAAAGAUGUUGCAUGCUAGAGAAAAGACUCAAGACCAUAGAAGGACAAGACACUCUUAAACUGAAUGCUUUAGACAUGUGUUUGGUACCUGGCCUGGUUAUACCCGCAGAAUUCAAGCAACCAUGGACUGUUCCUCAUACAAAUCAAAGAUCUCGUGGUCAAGGAUAUCAUAAUCAACUACUGAACCAGCAUAAGCCUCGAAACAAUCUGGAAAGAAGGAAUGCUCCUCUCGAUCUAAUUCCUAUGUCAUACAGUCAACUUUUGCCAUAUCUGAUUCAAAGCUCACUGGUGGAGCCCAAGUCUCUCAGGCCAUUGUCAGAACCAUACCCACCUGGAUAUGAUCCUGAUGUGCAAUGUGGAUAUCAUGCCGGAACAAUAGGGCAUUCAACUGAAAACGCAAUCUUUCUAAGGCUAAAUUGCAACCAAUUGAUCGACCAAAAAGUAUACAUAUCCUUUUCAAAGAAGCUGUUGUGCACGUUAAUCUCCUCGUCAGAAUGCAGUUUCAAAAUUUAGUAGAGUAUUCUUCUCUGCCAGUAGUUCAGACAGGAAGACAUCCUCAACACUGGCAAUCGUUGGACUGAUUUGUUUCUAUUUUUGCAUUUGUAGUUUCUUUGUUGUUAAAAGCUGCUUGUGUUUAAACAUUGUUUGUUUUUAAUGGUAAUAUUAAUGAAGUAAUGAUGCAUGUUUUGAAUUAAUCAUCUCGCAUUCGCUCAUUUUUCUUCUCUUAUAUCAAAAACAAAAAUACAUCACUGUUUCACCCAUUCGCUUUUCUUUAUCAUAACCUUUGUUUUAGCAAAGAUUUGAGGGAGGAUGACGAAAACAAGUUACCCAUAAUUGCCGACUAUAUGCUUUCGGAUAAAAUCCCGCUGAUGAUGUACAGGCAUUGUUUCAAAUUCCCAAACACUGGAGAGAUAAGGAGUUAAUCCCUAGUCAACCACUUCGAGCCUGAAGUAGGAGUUUCUUUCGGAUCUUAAAAACCUUACACUAAACCUGGGGCAGGGUAGUGUUCAGUUAAUCUGACUAUGCAUUCAAAUCACAAGAUGAAAUAUCCAGUAUGUGGAUCAACUACAUGACAUUCUUCGCACACAUCCUAAAGUGUCGAAGGAACCUUGUUCACAAGAUGAAAUAUCCAGUAUGUGGAUCAACUACAUGACAUUCUUCGCACACAUCCUAAAGUGUCGAAGGAACCUUGAAAAAUCAAAAAGUUAUGACGGUUGUUCUUCAAUGACCAAUGACUUGGCAAUCACAUUCUAAAAAAGGGAAUCAAUAAAAAGCCCGCUAAGUCGAUACCCCAAAAGGAGACUUAUGAAAAAACCGGGGCAAUCCCGAUGGACUAAAGCUUCAAAAAGCGGUCCAUGCAAAAGUUAGGGAUCAAAACAAAAAUCAAAGGAGGUCACAGAAACCCUCAACAAAAUAAAAACAAGAUUUAGUGACCACCAUAUCAAGAAUCAAAGGGUCACCAAUAUCCAUGAAGAACAAAAUAAAGUGUCUGUCAUUUCAAGAGAUCUUACACCUGCAAACUCUCUUAAAAGUUGAAUGUGUAUGGCGAAUUAACUGAGCAUAGGACUGGAGUUUAUCAAGAAGAAGGGUGGGUACAUAAACAAUUUUGAGCCUCAUAUCCUUUGUUUCGAUAACCGUGAACCAAGCCACGUUACAACCCUUAAAAGACCUAAUUGAAGUAGGGUUUAUUCCGAAAGCAUACUACAUCAAGGUUGCGUAAACUGACUCCUAAAAAUUUGCUAAUCUUUUACUUUGGUACAAUCUUCUUGUUGUAUCCUUCGCAUUGUUAAAUCAUCAUUGGGUUUGGAUUAAAAUGGUCCACUCGUCACACAUUAUCACAUCAUUCAAAUAAAUUCUUUUCAAAACUUGCAUGAGUAUCGCAUUAAAAUUACCAUUUCUGAACAAGCAAUUUUAACUGCAAGUCAGUACUUGACGUCAGGGAAAUUCCAACAAUAAGGAACAAUUAGAGGAACUUGGGCAUUCGUUGGUGCUAACCCGAAUCAAGACUACCUCAUAACCCACGAAUCAGGUGCAUGCCACCCAAAACAUCAAGUUGAUCAUAGGAAAAUUACUCCAAGAAUUGGUCAGUCUUAAACAGUCUCCAACAUCUGUUAAUAAAUGUGCAAAUCAUUUCAAGAAUUAGUUGAUCCAGAGCAAAUUAUCUCAGGACUCUAUUAACUAGGGGCAGAUCACCUAGAGGUUCUGUUGGCCAGGGGCAGACCCCUUCAAUGUUCAGUUAGGGUGAGUUAAGUCGCUUCAACGCUCAUACCGGGGCAAGCUACCUCAAGAGUACAGAAAAGUCAACCGCUCCAAGAGUCGGUUAACCAAGGAUAAAUCCUUUCAUGGAUCAAAAUUCUGGGGCAAUCCAUCUCCAAAUUAUGGUACAAUUGCUUUCAAAAUCCUUUCGAGGUAAACAUUUUGCAUAGACCCAUCACAUUGGGGCAAGAUGAGCCAUACAGGAGCAAGUCAUCUCCCUGACUUGAAGCUGUUCAAGCGAGAGCUUUUUCACACGUCAUCAACUGCAGAGUUCAAGAUGAGUGUCGGGGAAUCAUGCUAUCAUCCCAUAAAACAGCCAUCUGGCAGACAGAAGCCUUUCUGCAAAGAACCUUCUCUUCCAAUACCCACGCAGGGGCAUUUUGAAAACCUUCAAAUCAUUGCAUAAAGCAUCCUCAUGCAUUAGUCAUGUCACUUUGCUCUAAGAUAAAACCAUGCAUAUCAUAAAAUUCAUGGGGUCUAACCCCAUAACAUGAACCUGGCAUCAAAAAGCCUUGAAACACAAAAUCUGACACCAAUGCCCAACAUCGCUUGACCAUUUCAAAGUCCAGUUCUCGUCUGGCAAUUUAUUUCAAAGUCCAGUUCCCGUUUGGCAACUUAUUUCAAAAGCCCAGUUCCCGUCUGGAAAACCUUUUUCAAAAAAAACAGUUCCCGUCUGGCAAUUUAUUUCAAAGCCCAGUUCCCGUCUGGCAAUUUAUUUCGAAGUCCAGUUCUCGUCUGGCAACUUAUUCCAAAGUCCAGUUCCCGUCUGGCAAACUAUAUCAAAAAUCAGUUCUUGUACGACAAAUCAUUUGCCAAAUACUAGUUCUCGUCUGAUAAAUUAUCUCUUAAUACCAGUUCUCGUCUGGUAAAUUAUCUCUUAAUACCAGUUCUUGUCUGGUAAGUUAUCUAUUAAUACCAUUUCUCGUCUGGUAAAUUAUCUCUUAAUAUCAGUUCUCGUCUGGUAAAUUAUCUCUUAAAUACCAAUUCUCGUCUGAUAGUUAAUUAUUUUCACUAGUUCUCGUCUGGUAGCCUACUUUAAAAAUUAGUUCCUGUUUGACAAACAAAAACAAAUUCAGUCCUAUCUGACAUUUCAAUUAUUUUCACGAGUUCACGUCUGGUAACAUAUCCUUCAAGUGUUGUCCUCAUCUGGCAGUUCAAUCUCCUUCACCAGUUCUCAUUUGGCAGUUCCCAUUCUAAGUCCACACUAUUGGCAUCAAACCGCAAAGCAAAAAUGUCUUAACUAGGGGCAUGUCCAAAUACCCAUUUGCAUUCUAACAUGCAUCAUGUAAAUCAAUCAUACAUGGUUUUCCUACCAAACAGAAAAUUCAAAAAAACACAGUCAUAUCAAUCAUCAGCAUACUCAUGCAUAACACUCCCACAAAAUGGGAAUUUCAAUAAAAAAAUAAAAAUCAUUUGCAUUCCUACAUGCACAACCAAAUAUCCCCAGCAAUUGCAUACUUGCAUGCAUCUCAUACACCACCCCAUACAUGGUAUUCCCACCUAAAGUGGGACAUCAUACAAAAAUCAAAAGUAAAAUGUCAGGACCCAAGGUCAUUCAUGUAUAUCUUGGAUAUUCCUCAUUCCAAAUGAAGUUAUUACCCUGCAUAUGCUCGUGGGAUUAUAUCUCAGUAAAUCAUUUUUUCGACUUUAUGAUUAAAAAUGAUAUUUCCAACAUUUUUCUUUACAAUCAUUGCUCCCCAAGCAGAGGUUACCCUAAAAAGUCUCUUAUGAGCUUUUCCCCUGCAGAGCAUUUCUAGUAAAUCUCCCUCAAAAGGAGUAUUUUCUUAAAAAUUCCCCCAACAGACGAAUGUUCGAGAUACUGCUUCAUUUAUCUGAAGAAUCUCAUUUUUCUGUUUGAGAUACUGCUCUAAUAUCCUCGGAGAGUCUUAGAUUCAAUUAAAGUAUUUUUCCCUUGCUGGAAUAUUUUAAUUCUAUCAUAUAAGAUGUUGUUUUGACUCGAUACAGAGAAUCUCAUUUUUACUGUUUGAGAUACUGCUUCAUCAAUAUGAAGAGUCUCAUUUCAGAUUCUUUUAGAGAUACUGCUCUAAUAUCCUCGGAGAGUCUUAGAUUCGGUUAAGGUAUCUUUCCCUUGCUGGAAUAUCUUAAUUCUAUCAUAUAAGAUGCUGCUUCGACUCGAUACAGAGAGUCUCAUUUUUGCUGUUUGAGAUACUGCUUCAUCAAUAUGGAGAAUCUCAUUUCAGAUUUCUAGUCUAUGACGAGAUUCAUAGGAGCCUCUGUCUUAGAUUCAAUUAAGGUAUCAUUCCCUUGUUCGGAAUAUCUUAAUUCUAUCAUAUAAGAUGCUGCUUCGACUCGAUACAGAGAAUCUCAUUUUUACUAUUUGAGAUACUGCUUCAUCAACAUGAAGAGUCUCAUUUCAGAUUUUUUUAGAGAUACUGCUCUAAUAUCCUCGGAGAGUCUUAGAUUCAAUUAAAGUAUUUUUCCCUUGCUGAAAUAUUUUAAUUCUAUCAUAUGAGAUGCUGCUUCGACUCGAUACAGAGAAUCUCAUUUUUACUGUUGAAAUGCUGCUUCAUCAAUAUGAAGAGUCUCAUGCCAGAUUUUCUUUAUAUUGCUCUAGCAUCCUGGAAAACUCUUGAGAUUUAGCUAGGAAUGUCAUUCUAUUACUAACAUAUCUCGACCAUGACGUCCAAGAUACUGUUCUGACGACUCCCAGAAAGUCUUGGCUGUUCCAUUUUACUUUAGGAUAACGUCUCUCACUAUUUCUCACUGCAUUUUCUUCCUUGCAUUUCAAAGGACAAAAUUUGGGUCUUUUCGUAUUUAAUUAUCUUCCACUACGAAUGUAUGAAGACUCUUGUCGUUCUUACCUUCUAGUUCAAGAUAAUGAAAUAGGGGCAACUGUCAUACCCCAAUUUUGUCCGGGCAUUUUAAAUUUUCAUAAAUUCAAUUUAAUUUUCAGUUUACAACAUAUGUACAUCAUAAUAUGCAUUUUAUCAUUAAUAAUACCUGAAAUAUCAGUCAGGAUAAACUUAUUAAAAAUACAGACAAAUCGGUUGAAUCUUUUCUCAAGUACGGACCAAAUCAGCGGGUAAAAAAUUUCAGAAUUAAAAUUACAGACAUCAGUAUUAUUAAUCUACAGUUCAUGUAGUUUAACCUGGUGUGCUCGUUGUAUUUUUCAGCAGCUGUUUCAGUUGUGUUUUGACCCGCCUGAGCCUUUUAACCGAUGCAAACUUAUUCUAGAAUUUGAAGAAACGCUGUAUUUUUUCAAUAAGUAUAUUUUGUGCUGAUCAUUUUAGUGUGUCUGAUUUAAUUUUUCGAGCAAAUUUUUGUCCGAAUUUUAUUCAUUUUUAGUCGUUUUAAUUUUAUUCUUUCGUCAAAAUAGUCAGAUUAAAUAAAUAGAAUUUUUCAUGUUAUUAUUUUAAUUUUAUCAUGAUUAUUUAAAAAGUUGUGAAUUUUAUUUGAUUCAAUUGAUUAAAAUUGUUUUAAAUCGAUUAAGUCAUCUAAAAAAAGGCAUUAUAUGUAUUUUGAUUUAUUUAAUUAGGAUGUGUUUCUUUGAUUCAAUCUGAAUCGUUGAUUCAAAUUAAUCAAAGGCCCAUGUUAGCAAUCCAUACUCAUUUCCAAUAUCCAAUCAUAAAAUAGAAAUUUAAAUAAAUAGUUAAAUAGAAAAUUAGAAAAUAUUAAAAAAUAUCUCUUUCAAUCCAAUUGCCAGGUGCCACGUGACAAUCUUAUCUUCUUGUGAAUGGUACAGGCUUGGCAAAUGGUCCUAUCACUCCUUUCCAACGGUAACAAAAAUAAUAUUAAAAAAGGGAGGCAUACGUUUCCAUGGGCCACUUACAUAUUAACUGAUGCUCUCUCCUCCAAAGAUAGAAAAAAAUGAAAUAGAAAGUGAAAAGGAGAAAGGUGGAUUCACGUUCACGAUAAAAUAAUAAAAGAAGGAAAAAGAAGAAAUCUCUCUCACUCACCUCACUAUCACCCACCUCCACUAACAAACCAAACCCUCGCCGUUUACCGUUUUCAACAUUACAAACCCAUUCACCUUCAUCAACUCACCUUCCGACCGUCACCAACCUCCGCCAUGAUUAUCGCUAUGAAAUCUCCUCACCCAAACACACCUUUCAUCAACUACUCAUAGCCUCGCCGCAAUUACCAACUCUGAUACGUCUUAAUUCCGGUUUCCACUCUGAUUACGUUUCGAUUAGAUUAAGCUUGUGAUAAGUUUUCUGUUUAGAUCUGUUGCAGGUUCUAGCAUCGAAGUUACUUUUUCCAGGAGAAGAAAAACGUUUGAGAAACAAUGCUCCAGAUCUGUUUCUACCGAAGCUACAACGCCAACUCGGCGGUGAUUCUCAACAACAAUGAAGCGGAAGCAUCAAACAACAAUGGAACCUUGUUUUCUUCCUUUUUUUUUUUGCUUUAAUGCGAUUGGGUUUUUGUCUGUUUGAUUUUUUUGCAGCUCAUUGCCGCUCAUAAUCGUUGCGGGUUCGAUUCAGGAUCUAUAUUCAAUUUUGAACUGAUUACGACAUCGUCAGAGUCCAUUCCAUUUCUAACCGCACAAGAAUAACCACCGUGUACACAUCUCAUGGG
This 11014-nucleotide long non-coding RNA is filed under the name Lathyrus oleraceus (garden pea). RNAcentral's name for it is "Pisum sativum (pea) long non-coding RNA (PSAT_LNC003805)". Lineage: Eukaryota; Viridiplantae; Streptophyta; Magnoliopsida; Fabales; Fabaceae. The record is from RNAcentral.